RNAcentral lists this ribosomal RNA (253 nucleotides) under uncultured bacterium. Its description in RNAcentral is "partial 16S ribosomal RNA". It matches the Rfam family "Bacterial small subunit ribosomal RNA", at positions 524 to 776 of the family's 1533-position model. The record is from RNAcentral.
UACAGAGGGGGCAAGCGUUAUUCGGAAUUAUUGGGCGUAAAGGGCGCGUAGGCGGCUUGGCAAGUGGAAGGUGAAAUCCCUCGGCUUAACCGAGGAACUGCCCUCCAAACUGCUUUGCUUGAGGCCGGGAGAGGUGAGUGGAAUUCCCAGUGUAGCGGUGAAAUGCGUAGAUAUCUGGAGGAACACCGGUGGCGAAGGCGGCAUCCUGGACCGGCAUUGACGCUGAGGCGCGAAAGCUAGGGGAGCAAACGGG